This 1810-nucleotide ribosomal RNA is filed under the name Percolomonas cosmopolitus. RNAcentral describes it as "partial 18S ribosomal RNA". It matches the Rfam family "Eukaryotic small subunit ribosomal RNA". Lineage: Eukaryota; Heterolobosea; Eutetramitea; Percolomonadida; Percolomonadidae. The record is from RNAcentral.
ACCAUAGGCUCGUCUCGAAGACUAAGCCAUGCACGUGUCAGUGCACGACCAGCUUGCUGGUACAAGGGAACUGCGGAUGGCUCCUUAUAACAGUGAGUACCGGCCUGCUUAGACAAUCUACACGGAUAACCUAGCCAACUGCUAGGCUAAUACGUGACGUCGAUACCGUUUGGCUUGCCAGACGGUAGCGCAAGGCCAGCAUGAAUGCGGCCUUGCAUGGCCAAGCUUCGGCUUGGCGGCAGACCUACAGAGGUUAAAGUACCUGUCUCGGACAGGUACUACUCUAGGCUGAGCAGACAGCUUUCUGACCCAUUAGCUGGUUGUGAAGGUAGCGGCUUCACAAGGCAGCCAUGGGUACGGGGAAUCAGCGUUCGAUUCCGGAGAGAAAGCCUGAGACACGGCUAUCACAUCUAAGGAAGGCAGCAGGCGCGCAAAUUACCCAAUGCAGACUCUGCGAGGUAGUGAACAGCCAUAGUGACCUGCCCAUGAUUGUGGGCAGGGAGGCCUUCGGGCCUAGCCAUGAUUGACGUCUAAACACCGUGAAGGCCUAGUAGAGGACCAGUCUGGUGCCAGCACCCGCGGUAACUCCAGCUCUGCUAGCCUAUGAUAAUACUGUUGUCUUUAAACGUUCGUAGCCCGCCUAGGAUAGGUCGGGUGUCGGCUGUGUGAGACACCUGCUUGUCUGUCCAGCUCAGCUGGUACAGAUGGACAGGCUGUUGAGCACCUCGGCAGGUAGCUUGCUUCGGCAGGUGACUGUAGCCUACAUCUGGCCUGUCGCGGCGAUAUCGCUAGUAAAUGGAAAUGCUUAAAGUAGGCGAUGCUGGCUUCGGCCAGCCAGCCUGUACUUCAUAGAGUGACACAUCAAUACAGCCAGCUGCUUUUGCAGCUGGCGUGAGCAAUGGGGAGGUCUCAAGCAAGGAGUACUGGCUGGAUAGGGGUGAAAUCCAGUGACCCAGCCAUGACUAGCUGAGGCGAAGGCGCCUUGCUAGAGCCCGCCUCUCGGCGAUGGACGAGAGUGAAGGGCGCGAAGAUGAUUAGAUACCGUUGUAGUCUCCACCGUAAACUAUGCCAGCUCGGCCGGGCCACCUCACCUUUGUGAAGGUUGCCUGGCCCUAGGGAAACUAUUAAGCUCUUCGGCUAGAGGGGUAGUACUGUUGCAAGGCAGAAACUUAAAGGAAUUGACGGAAAAGCACCACCAGGCGUGGAGUCUGCGGCUUAAUUCGACUCAACACGGGGAACCUUACCAGGACAGCACACUGAAUGGAUUGUCGGCUUGCCGAGCCUACCUGAUACUGUGGAUAGUGGUGCAUGGCCAUUCUUAGUUCGUGAAGUGAUUUGUCUCCUUGAUUGAGGUAACGAGCGAGACCCUGAAGGGCUGUUGGGCACGGUCAGUACGCUGGCCGUAGUCUGCCUAGUGCAGCUGCCCCUACCCUGAUCACCGGCGCCUAGCCGGGCGAGACAGGACAAUAAUAGGUCUGUKAUGCCCUUAGAUGCCCUGGGAUGCACGCGUACUACACUGACGAUCACAGCGAGUAGUCUGGCGGAUAGGCCUAGCCUAUUCGCCUGCUGCGCCGACAGGCGUGGCGAAGCUACAAUGGCCGUCACGGUAAGGAUUGCUGCCUGCAAGGGCAGCAUGAAUGAGGAAUGCCUUGUAAGCGCGCUUCAGCAUAGCGCACUGAAUACGUCCCUGCUUUUUGUACACACCGCCCGUCGCAUCAAGGAACUCAACUGAGGCAAUGAGGCUGCUGGACGAAAGGAAAGCAGCCGAAUAGCCUUGGUCUUACCAUGAUGAAGUCGUAACAAGGUAUCC